CUGUGAACCGGAAACGCCACCCCCGCAGGGACGGCAGCCUCCGUUACAGUCGGGGCGCGAGGGGCUUAUCUCUUUCUUUUUGUUUCGCAGUUUUUUUGUGUGCCUUUAAAAAUGUUUUCACUGUUGCCCAAUUACAGUCGUUUGCAUUCUCCCGCCAUCGCUCUCCCCGGCUCCGCCCCUCCCCACACAUUCAAUCCUCACCCCCCAACCUCACCCCGUUGUCUUUGGCCCUGGGGGUGUUCCUUUGUAUAAUAGGAGUCCUUCGACUUGACCCUUCUCCCCCUUCCUUCCCCGAUUAUCCGCGUCCCCGCGCCGCUCUAGGCACCGUCAGUUUGUUCUUUAUUUCCUUGACUGACUCCGGUUCUGUGUCGCUCGCCUGUUUGGGGAACGAGGCAGCGGCAGCAGCAGAACAAGUUGGCGCGUCUCGGAGGAGAGCAAACUGCCCGCGCGUUAGCCCCGCUCCCGACCGGCCAGGUCGCGCCGGUUCAGGGGGACUGGCCUGGGCAGAAACAGUCCGUGAGGCCAACGGCCAACUUUUACAAGACCCAAGUUUGAGAUGAAUGUUUGAGGGAAAUGUUAAGUUCCAGAAGGGACCUACAGAGAGAAGAAAGCUGCCAUCUCAGGGAUUUAAAAGAACAGUUACAACCCUGGCUUCACGUAGUUGGGGUCAUCACCAAGCGCUGUCGGGGCGCUAUAGCAGGAUCUGGCCCCGCGCCGGGGUCCGCGCCGGUCAGUCUGCCCUUGACGCGCUGCUGCUGCUGGGCGGUGGGGAGUCAUGAACCCGAGAGGCAGCCCCGAGGAGCAAAAGGGGCGAGGAGCUAGCGGCCUGGCGGCCGACCCCAGCCCGCGCCCCCAGGGGCGGUAAGUAGCAGUUAGGGAGCCCUGGGGCGACCAGUCCACUGCCGGCCGCAACUGCUCCUCCGCCGGGGCGCCCUCCUUCUGCCUUCCUGGCCCUCGGAACAAUCUGGUGGACAACGUUUGCCCAUCUCACCACCUCCAGCUCCCGCGCCCACAGCCUUGAGGACCGGUACGGCCCUCCCAGCAAACUGUCUCCCACCGUCUCCCCAAGAACUGGAGUUCCCAGUGGACGGCCGCCGCAAUCUGGACGCGGGAGCUCGCGGGUCUAGGUCGCUGCUCAAGACAGGGGUGCCCGGUGGGGCUUUGAUGCAGAAACUUUUUCGAGGAGACUGCGGGUCGCAGCAGCUGGGAGUUUCGGCUCAGAGCUUCAUCCGCCGACUUUCCUGUUAACAAUACUCACUUCUCAGAAAGUGAGGAAGGGCAAGAGAGAGAGAGAGAGAAACAUCGAUAGGCCGCCUCCCGUGUGUGCCCUGACCGGGGAUCAAACCCACAACCUAGGUAUGUGCCUGGACCAGUAAUGGGACACACAACCUUUUGGUGCACAAGAUGACGCUCCAACCAACUGAGCCACCCGACCAGGGCUUGGUAUUCUUAAGAACAAUGUUCAUCAUUGGACAAAGUGGGGUGCAAUCUCGCCGUAAGUUUACUAGGAGGAGGGAUGAGGCACCCUUUACGAGUGAGUAUACAGACCACACCCGUCAGGGACAAUGGUGGGGAGAAUCUGGGUUCUCUGGCCCUCCCUGCGCCCACCCUGAGACCCCAAAGCCUCCUGGUGUUUUCCUGCCCCAGGGGGCGAGUCUACGUUUCCUGAAGGAGCCCAGUUGUGGGAGCCCGAUGCUCCAUGAGAACGAACGUGGUAGGCAGAAUAAUGGCCUCCUGAAGAUGUCCACAUUCCCAAUCCCCAGAACCUGUGCAGCAGUUCUGUUGCAAGGCAGGGAGAAUGAAGACUGCAGACAGAAUUCAAGUUGCUAAUUAGCUGAGUUCACAAUAGAGAGAUUGUCCUGAAUUACCUAAGUGGGCUUCAUGUCAUCAUGAGUGUCCUUUAAAUGUGGAAGGAGACAGGAGAGGGAGUGAGUGUCAGAGGGAUGCCAGCCCAGAAGGCUUGGCCAGCCGUACUUGCUUGGAGGUGGAAGGGGGUCGAGAGCCAGGAGAUGCGGGCAGCCUCUAGGAGCUGGAAAAGCCAGAAGGCAGAUCCUGCCCCCAGAGAGCAACACAGUCCUGCCAGCGCUUUGGUUCCAGCACAGGGAGACCCAUUCAGGACUUCUGGCUGCCAGAACUGUGCAGGAAUGUAUCUGCCUUGCGCCAGGCCACCCCAUUUGUGAUAAUUUGUUAAAUGGGUGAUUCAGACCACAGGGUGGCAGUCCUCAGCCCACCAGAUGCCCCCCAUUCGGCAAAGAACCACGAAGGGGCCACAACAUCUUGUGAGAGAAUCAGAACGUCUGGUAAUAGUUCACGUGGGCCCCCGUGAGCACUGUGGGGCGUGUGCUUGCCGCGUCCCAAGACCACAUUCAAACUACAACUAAACUAUGAAAUGGUCAUCGCUGAGAACAGCCUGAAAUCUGGCAGAACAAAAGCCCAAUCGUUAAGCAUAUGCCUAAGGGGCCAUGUCGGGGCCAACUCAGUAACUGUAUGGGAAGAAAUGAAUCUUGGGGACUUCCACCAAGAUGGAGGCGUAGGUGGAAGCACUGCACCUUCUUGCACAACCAAGUUUAAAAACAAUAAAGUUUUAGCAACAAAAAUGCAGCCAAACCACAGAAAAUUGAACUAUACGGAAGUCUGACAACAACAAAUCCUUCAGCCAAACUGGUAAGAGGGGCAGAGCCAGCAGCAGAGCGGGGGUCAAGCAGGAAAGAUCCACCGGACCGACCCGGGCCCAGGACCCAGGUGCGCCAGCAGCCGUGGGCGGAUCCCAGGUGUGGAAGGGCGGGUGGACCCACUGAGGACACAAGGCAGUGGACUCACUGAGGGCUGACCACGGUCACACAUUAGAGCGCAGAUAAACUGGUGAAGGAGUGAGCAGUGAGACAGACCGCCCAAGCCCCAGUGGCGGGAAGCGGCAGAGGGGACCGCUAUUGUCCCUCUCUGACCCUGCCCCCACAUACAGCAUCACAAACCAGCAACCCUGGGUGGCCCUACCCUGGUGAACACCUAAGGCUCCACUCAUACGUAACAGGCACAAACAGAUCAAAACAUGGCUCAAGAACAACUCAGAGCCCCAGAGCCAAUAAAUCUAAGUGAUGAAGAAAUAGCCAAACUUUCGGAUGCACAGUUCAAAAUACUGGUAAUCAGGAUGCUCACAGAACUGGUUGAUUUUAGUCACAAAUUAGAGGAACAUAUGAAGGCUAAACUAAUUAAAAUGAAGGGAAAGGCACAGGAAACCAAUAGUAAUGGAAAGGAAACUGGGACUCAAAUCAAAGGAGUGGACCAGAAGGAAGAAAAAAAUGACCAAACAGAAAAGAAUGAAGAAACAAGAAUUCAAAAAAAGGAGGAGAGUCUUAGGAACCUACAGGACAUCUUUAAACGCUCCAACAUCUGAAUUAUAGGGGUACCAGAAGAGGAAGAGGAACAGCCACAAGUGGAGAACUUAUUUGAACAAAUAAUAAAGGAGAACUUCUCCAAUCUGGCAAAGGAAAUAGACUUCCAGGAAGUCCAGGAAGCUCAGAGUCCCAAAGAAGUUGGACUCAAGAAGGAACACACCAAGGCACAUCAUCAUUACAUGAGCCAAGAUUAAAAUGAAGGAGAGACUCCUAGAAGCAGCAAGAGCUAAGGGGACAGUCACCUACAAAGGAGUUCCCAUCAGACUGUCAGUGGAUUUCUCAAAAGAGACCUUACAGGCAAGAAGGGGCUGGAAAGAAGGAUUCCAAGUCAUGAAAUCCAAAGACCUACAUCCAAGAUUACUCUAUCCAGCAAAGCUUUCAUUUAGAAUGGAAGGGCAGAUAAAGUGCUUCUCAGAUAAGAUCAAAUUCAAGGAGUUCAUCAUCACCAAGCCCUUAUUACAUGAAAUGUUAAAGGGACUUAUCUAAGAAAAAGAAGAUAAAAAAGAUGAACAGUGAAAGGACAGCAAACUCACAGUUAUUAAGAACCACACCUAAAACAAAAGCAAUCCAACAGGACAGCUAGACCAGGAGUAGAACCAGAGAAAUGAAGAUCACAUGAAGGGUUAGCAACAGGGGAGUAGGAGAAGGAGAAGGGGGGAGAAGGUACAGAAAAUAAGUAGCAUAGAUGGUAGGUAGAAAGUAGAUGGGGGGAGGGCAAGAAUAGUAUGGGAAAUAUAGAAUCUAAAGAACUUGAGAC
Molecule: long non-coding RNA, 4152 nt
Organism: Artibeus jamaicensis (Jamaican fruit-eating bat)
Lineage: Eukaryota; Metazoa; Chordata; Mammalia; Chiroptera; Phyllostomidae
Exons: 4
Source: RefSeq, a predicted model, not a curated record